GACGAACGCUGGCGGCGUGCUUAACACAUGCAAGUCGAACGCUGAAGCUUGGUGCUUGCACUGGGUGGAUGAGUGGCGAACGGGUGAGUAAUACGUGAGUAACCUGCCCUUGACUCUGGGAUAAGCCUGGGAAACUGGGUCUAAUACUGGAUAUGACAUGCCACUGCAUGGUGGUGUGUGGAAAGGGUUUUACUGGUUUUGGAUGGGCUCACGGCCUAUCAGCUUGUUGGUGGGGUAAUGGCCUACCAAGGCGACGACGGGUAGCCGGCCUGAGAGGGUGACGGGCCACACUGGGACUGAGACACGGCCCAGACUCCUACGGGAGGCAGCAGUGGGGAAUAUUGCACAAUGGGCGGAAGCCUGAUGCAGCGACGCCGCGUGAGGGAUGACGGCCUUCGGGUUGUAAACCUCUUUCAGCACGGAAGAAGCGAGAGUGACGGUACGUGCAGAAGAAGCGCCGGCUAACUACGUG
This 472-nucleotide ribosomal RNA is filed under the name uncultured bacterium. RNAcentral describes it as "partial 16S ribosomal RNA". It matches the Rfam family "Bacterial small subunit ribosomal RNA", at positions 28 to 507 of the family's 1533-position model. The record is from RNAcentral.